GUCUAUGUCCAUGCCACCCUGAAAAAGCCCAAUCCCGUCUGAUCUGGGAAGCUAAGCAGGAUCAGGCCUAGUUAGUACUUGGAUGAGAGACCACCUAGGAAGACCAGGUGUUGUAGGCG
This 119-nucleotide ribosomal RNA is filed under the name Pteropus alecto (black flying fox). Lineage: Eukaryota; Metazoa; Chordata; Mammalia; Chiroptera; Pteropodidae. The record is from RNAcentral.